AUGUGUGAUGUCUACCUUUCUGGUUGGUCUGCACUUCUUCUCUCCCGUGGAGAUUUGCUCUGGGGCAAAAUGCCUGAUGGUGGGACAAGAGAUAGCUCCUUCUUUGCAAAAACUAUUUAUAAACAGUUGCAGAGUCUGAGAGAGAUUUCACACUGCUCCAUUGGUAAUGGACAGUCCACCUUCUUUUGGGUGCAGAAGAAAGUAAUGAUCUUCGGGUGGUUAUUCUACUUGGACCGCCUAAACACUAGCAAGAACCUGCGUAAGAAGCACAUACUGAGCUCGGACACCUGUCCAAGAUGCAACAACCCUGUGGAGGACCAUGAACACCUCUUCUUCACUUGUCCGGCGGCCCGCAGGGUGUGGCGGGCUACCGGUAUUCGACCGCAAUUCACCCGUAUUGCUGAGUUCUUCACCACCACCUUGCCAGCUGCUCUGCCUUCUUCAGUCCGCCCCUUUAUGAUCCUUCUCAUUCUCUGGGAAAUCUGGGACACAAGGAACAAAAAAGUGAGGAGCCUUUUCCCCCCGUGUUCAGCACAAGCAGACCCCAAAAUGAGCAAGCACACACAUACCAGCAGACCUGCAGCAGACAAAGACGCAUGCCCUAUAGGCUAUAGCUAA
RNAcentral lists this ribosomal RNA (618 nucleotides) under Triticum aestivum (bread wheat). RNAcentral describes it as "partial small subunit ribosomal RNA". Lineage: Eukaryota; Viridiplantae; Streptophyta; Magnoliopsida; Poales; Poaceae. The record is from RNAcentral.